Balaenoptera ricei (Rice's whale) is the source of this 689-nucleotide long non-coding RNA. RefSeq lists it as uncharacterized. The transcript is spliced from 3 exons. Lineage: Eukaryota; Metazoa; Chordata; Mammalia; Artiodactyla; Balaenopteridae. The record is from RefSeq and is a predicted model, not a curated record.
UCUGUGAGGAAAUCAGAUGUCGCAGGGAGAAGACUCAGCCGAGCCGAGCCGCAGGCACUCAGGACCUGCUGGGGGUGGGGAGGUGGGGGAGUCGCAGUCCCCUGCCUCCUCUUCACUGAGGUGUGAGGGACUUUAGUUCCCCAACCAGGGAUUGAACCCAUGCCCUCAGCAGUGAAAGCUCGGAGUCCUAACCACUGGAGUGCCUGGGAAACCCUAUCAUUAGACACAAAUAAUCUGCAGAACUAGAAACAAAGGCUACAAACUCUUGCCACAGAAAAGAUGUAGAGGCACUUUUUUACAGGACAAAUUUUCCUAUUGGCAGAGAUCAUGGAAAAAAAAAGUGGUCCCAGGCUGGGGAAGAGACAGGAAAGCAUGAGAGAGAGGAAUGGAAAGCCUCCGUCUGGGACCCUGGACCUGCAAGGAAGGACCACCAAGUGCUAGCCAUCCACUCAUCGUCCAUCGAUCUUCUAGUCUUGAGUGAUGCUCAUCUAAGCCUGAGAUUCUGCUCAUCUCCCCUGAAUCUGUGUGGACCCUGCCUUCCUCUUAGCCUCAGCAACCCACUGUUGAAUUCCCAUUUUAUUGACAGAGGAGUGGAGAUUUCAGGAGGCUGAGCAUUGCCUAGAAAUUACCAGCAAGGUUGAAGCUAGAACUUAAGCCUCAUGAAUCCCUGUUGAAAACUCUUUCCAGUA